RNAcentral lists this ribosomal RNA (903 nucleotides) under Pseudomonas taiwanensis. Its description in RNAcentral is "bacterial SSU rRNA". It matches the Rfam family "Bacterial small subunit ribosomal RNA", at positions 47 to 945 of the family's 1533-position model. Lineage: Bacteria; Pseudomonadati; Pseudomonadota; Gammaproteobacteria; Pseudomonadales; Pseudomonadaceae. The record is from RNAcentral.
CCUAACACAUGCAAGUCGAGCGGAUGAUGGGAGCUUGCUCCUUGAUUUAGCGGCGGACGGGUGAGUAAUGCCUAGGAAUCUGCCUGGUAGUGGGGGAUAACGUUCCGAAAGGAACGCUAAUACCGCGUACGUCCUACGGGAGAAAGCAGGGGACCUUCGGGCCUUGCGCUAUCAGAUGAGCCUAGGUCGGAUUAGCUAGUUGGUGAGGUAAUGGCUCACCAAGGCGACGAUCCGUAACUGGUCUGAGAGGAUGAUCAGUCACACUGGAACUGAGACACGGUCCAGACUCCUACGGGAGGCAGCAGUGGGGAAUAUUGGACAAUGGGCGAAAGCCUGAUCCAGCCAUGCCGCGUGUGUGAAGAAGGUCUUCGGAUUGUAAAGCACUUUAAGUUGGGAGGAAGGGCAGUAAGUUAAUACCUUGCUGUUUUGACGUUACCGACAGAAUAAGCACCGGCUAACUUCGUGCCAGCAGCCGCGGUAAUACGAAGGGUGCAAGCGUUAAUCGGAAUUACUGGGCGUAAAGCGCGCGUAGGUGGUUCGUUAAGUUGGAUGUGAAAGCCCCGGGCUCAACCUGGGAACUGCAUCCAAAACUGGCGAGCUAGAGUACGGUAGAGGGUGGUGGAAUUUCCUGUGUAGCGGUGAAAUGCGUAGAUAUAGGAAGGAACACCAGUGGCGAAGGCGACCACCUGGACUGAUACUGACACUGAGGUGCGAAAGCGUGGGGAGCAAACAGGAUUAGAUACCCUGGUAGUCCACGCCGUAAACGAUGUCAACUAGCCGUUGGAAUCCUUGAGAUUUUAGUGGCGCAGCUAACGCAUUAAGUUGACCGCCUGGGGAGUACGGCCGCAAGGUUAAAACUCAAAUGAAUUGACGGGGGCCCGCACAAGCGGUGGAGCAUGUGGG